CCUCCUCUGACACCUUCAUGUUUCUGUCCUACCAUCCAGGUAGUCGCAAAGUAAAUUUUCGAAUCAACUUAUCAAUGGAUAAAUCCAUUAUCUAUGGAUGU
This is a long non-coding RNA of Sapajus apella (tufted capuchin), 101 nucleotides long. RefSeq lists it as uncharacterized. The record is from RefSeq and is a predicted model, not a curated record. NCBI's taxonomy places the organism in Eukaryota, Metazoa, Chordata, Mammalia, Primates, Cebidae. The transcript is spliced from 3 exons.